RNAcentral lists this ribosomal RNA (546 nucleotides) under Glossolepis incisus (red rainbowfish). Its description in RNAcentral is "partial 16S ribosomal RNA". The stretch from base 183 to 546 matches the Rfam family "Bacterial large subunit ribosomal RNA", at positions 568 to 1072 of the family's 2925-position model. Lineage: Eukaryota; Metazoa; Chordata; Actinopteri; Atheriniformes; Melanotaeniidae. The record is from RNAcentral.
GCCCACUAGCUAGCUCACCCAACAACAUAACACUUAUAUAUAAAUAUACAAGUACCAACAAAUAAAUAAACAAACCAUUUUUCCACUUUAGUAUAGGUGAUAGAAAAAGAAUCCGACGCAAUAGAGAAAGUACCGUAAGGGAACGCUGAAAGAGAAAUGAAACAACUCAGUAAAGCACAACAAAGCAGAGCUUACCCCUCGUACCUUUUGCAUCAUGUUUUAGCUAGAGCCCCUCAAGCAAAAAGCAUUGUAGUUUGACACCCCGAAACUAAGGGAGCUACUCCAAGACAGCCUAACAAUAGGGCCAACCCGUCUCUGUGGCAAUAGAGUGGGAAGAGCUUUGAGUAGAGGUGACAGACCUAUCGAACUUAGUUAUAGCUGGUUACCUGAGAAUUGGAUAGAAGUUCAGCCUCUUGAAUUCCUCCCUCGCCUUGAUAAUUUUCUAAGUGAGACCCUAGGAAGUCAAGAGAGUUAGUCAAAGGGGGUUCAGCCCCUUUGAAAAAAGAUACAACUUUUCUGGGUGGAUAAAGAUCAAAUUAACAAAGG